UUGUUGGUAAGGUAAAAGCUUACCAAGGCUUCGAUCAGUAGCUGGUCUGAGAGGACGACCAGCCACACUGGGACUGAGACACGGCCCAGACUCCUACGGGAGGCAGCAGUGGGGAAUUUUGGACAAUGGGGGCAACCCUGAUCCAGCCAUGCCGCGUGAGUGAAGAAGGCCUUCGGGUUGUAAAGCUCUUUCAGCCGGAACGAAACGGUUACGGAUAACACCCGUGACUACUGACGGUACCGGAAGAAGAAGCACCGGCUAACUACGUACCAGCAGCCGCGGUAAUACGUAGGGUGCGAGCGUUAAUCGGAAUUACUGGGCGUAAAGCGUGCGCAGGUGGUUUUGUAAGUCAGAUGUGAAAGCCCCGGGCUCAACCUGGGAACUGCGUUUGAAACUACAAGACUAGAGUGUGGCAGAAGGGGGGUGGAAUUCCGCGUGUAGCAGUGAAAUGCGUAGAGAUGUGGAGGAACACCGAUGGCGAAGGCAGCCCCCUGGGUCAACACUGACGCUCAGGCACGAAAGCAUGGGGAGCAAACAGGAUUAGAUACCCUGGUAGUCCAUGCCCUAAACGAUGUCAACUAGUUGUCGGGCCUUUACGGGCUUGGUAACGUAGCUAACGCGUGAAGUUGACCGCCUGGGGAGUACGAUCGCAAGAUUAAAACUCAAAUGAAUUGACGGGGACCCGCACAAGCGGUGGAUUAUGUGGAUUAAUUCGAUGCAACGCGAAAAACCUUACCUACCCUUGACAUGUAUCGAAGCCCGCAGAAAAGCGGGGGUGCCCGAAAGGGAACGAUAACACAGGUGCUGCAUGGCUGUCGUCAGCUCGUGUCAUGAGAUGUUGGGUUAAGUCCCGCAACGAGCGCAACCCUUGUCAUUAAUUGCCAUCAUUUAGUUGGGCACUUUAAUGAGACUGCCGG
This 917-nucleotide ribosomal RNA is filed under the name uncultured bacterium. Its description in RNAcentral is "bacterial SSU rRNA". It matches the Rfam family "Bacterial small subunit ribosomal RNA", at positions 246 to 1155 of the family's 1533-position model. The record is from RNAcentral.